CCCUUAGAUGUUCUGGGCCGCACGCGUGCUACACUGAGUGGAUCAGCGGGUCAGGUUGCGCGAAAGCGUUUCCUAAUGUUUAAAUCCGCUCGUGAUGGGGAUUGACGGUUGCAAUUUUCUGUCAUGAACGAGGAAUACCUUGUAAGCGCGGGUCAUCAUCCCGCGCUGAAUACGUCCCUGCCCUUUGUACACACCGCCCGUCGCUCCUACCGAUUGAGUGGUCCGGUGAGGCUUUGGGAUCUGAGCGGAAAGAGCGUUUCGCUGUUUCUGCUCGGAAAACUCAGUCGAACCUUAUCAUUUAGAGGAAGGAGAAGUCGUAACA
This 322-nucleotide ribosomal RNA is filed under the name uncultured eukaryote. RNAcentral describes it as "partial 18S ribosomal RNA". It matches the Rfam family "Eukaryotic small subunit ribosomal RNA", at positions 1470 to 1796 of the family's 1831-position model. The record is from RNAcentral.